UGGCGGCCUUAGCGCGGUGGUCCCACCUGACCCCAUGCCGAACUCAGAAGUGAAACGCCGUAGCGCCGAUGGUAGUGUGGGG
RNAcentral lists this ribosomal RNA (82 nucleotides) under Escherichia coli. RNAcentral also lists the same sequence under 3 other names. The record is from RNAcentral. Lineage: Bacteria; Pseudomonadati; Pseudomonadota; Gammaproteobacteria; Enterobacterales; Enterobacteriaceae.